This is a non-coding RNA of Notechis scutatus (mainland tiger snake), 145 nucleotides long. The record is from RefSeq and is a predicted model, not a curated record. NCBI's taxonomy places the organism in Eukaryota, Metazoa, Chordata, Lepidosauria, Squamata, Elapidae.
UUCUGGAGAACCAAAAUGGUAAAGGACAUUAGGUAUUAGACUGGAAAACAAAGACUGAAUUUUAAUCCUCCUGUAGUUAUGAAAGCCCGAUGGAAGAUUUUGGCGUAGUUAUUUUCUUUCAGAUCAACUCAGCUUACAAUGUUAU